This 469-nucleotide ribosomal RNA is filed under the name uncultured bacterium. RNAcentral describes it as "partial 16S ribosomal RNA". It matches the Rfam family "Bacterial small subunit ribosomal RNA", at positions 28 to 507 of the family's 1533-position model. The record is from RNAcentral.
GACGAACGCUGGCGGCGUGCUUAACACAUGCAAGUCGAACGGAAAGGCCCUGCUUGCAGGGUGCUCGAGUGGCGAACGGGUGAGUAACACGUGGGUGAUCUGCCCCUUACUUUGGGAUAAGCCUGGGAAACUGGGUCUAAUACUGGAUAGGACCAUUCUGUAGGCGGUGUGGUGGAUAGAUUAGUUUCGGUUUGGGAUGAGCUCGCGGCCGAUCAGCUUGUUGGUGGGGUAAUGGCCUACCAAGGCGUCGCCGGGUAGCCGGCCGGAGAGGGUGGACGGCGACAUUGGGACUGAGAUGCGGGGCAGAAGCCUACGAGAGGCAGCAGUGGGGGAAAGUGUACAAGGGGAGCAAGGCGGAUGCAGCGACGCCGCGGGGGGGGUGACGGCCUUCGGGUUGUAAACAACUUACAGCCAUGACGAAGCGCUUGUGGUGACGGUAGUGGUAGAAGAAGCACCGGCUAACUACGUG